This 1334-nucleotide long non-coding RNA is filed under the name Phasianus colchicus (ring-necked pheasant). Its description in RNAcentral is "lncRNA (ENSPCLG00000001325.1)". Lineage: Eukaryota; Metazoa; Chordata; Aves; Galliformes; Phasianidae. The record is from RNAcentral.
GGCUGUUUGUUGCUGUUAUGGUUUUGAUCAUCAUGGAUUGUGCAGCUCAGUCCCAUCUGCUGAACCCAGGGACAGUUUUUUCAGAUUACAGCAGAGAAUCAUAGAAUCAUUAAGGUUGGAACAGAUCAUCUCAUCCAACUGUUGAUGCAUCACCACCAUACCACUAAACUAUCUUCCUCAGUGCCACGUCCACACUGUUCUUGAACACCUCCAGGUACAGUGACUGCCACUUCCCUGGGCAGCCUGUGCCACUGCCUCAUCAUUUUUUCAGGUAAGAUUUUCCUAAUAUCCAACCUGAACUUCCCCAGAGCAACUUGAGCAAGGGCAGGUUUCCACCCCUUUGCAUUUGGAAGACCACUGGCAGCAAUUAUUUUUCUGGAGAACAAUUAGUUAUGCCUGCAGUGUCGCCAAAAUAUUGGCCUUCAAGUGGACCAUGACAUAGCCAGGGCUGAAUGGGCCAUGGAGACCAUGCUGCUCCCUGGGGAGGCACCUGCUCUGUGUCCUCUGAGAGAUGACAGGAAGAUCACCCAUGCAGUGGGAAGCUGGGAAACACAAGCAAUUUCCCAUUUUCCCUUGAUAGCUAGGCUUUGUUGAAUGACUUUAUUUUUCCACCCAGAGUCAAGCAGCCUGGAGUGUUACUUUGUGCUGAAUGUUGUGACUUGCAUCAGAGCUAAGCGUAAGAGGAGUACUGCUGCACUGAGCUGGUGGCUUGUUGCCUGAUUUAAAUAACUACAUGAAGUGCAAGGCUGGCAUUAGUCCCCACAGUUGCUACCACUUUGGAAAGUGGCCAUCUAUUAGAGGCUACUGUUGGUUCCAUGUAAAAUUAGUGGGAGCUGGAACUAAAAGUCCAGAUAUGGAGAUGGAAGAAAGCACAAAAAAAUGAAGGAUGACAGGGAUGCAAGCUACGGGACCUCAUGAUCACUUUGCUUUCUUCGGAAAAUCCUGCUAACUCCUGUAGGAAUGCUGGCUAUCUUGCAGGGUGUAUCACUGAGGGGCAUGUUUAAACCAAGAAGAUGGCUGGCUGCUUGGAGGACAUGCAUGCAGAGAUGGGGGAACCAGGACAGGAGACAGUUGUGAGAAGUGUGCAUGGUGAAGUCACUGAGAUCACACAGGCAUCACAGGCAUAAGAAAUAUUGUGAGAAAGGGGCUGAGACAGGACAUGGCAGGAUGCUUGAGCAGAAAUGUGAUCGCAGCAUGAAAUGUGAAAUGUAUGUCUAUUUGUAACUUGAGUCCAUUAUGGAAAACUGUGUUGUCUAAGAAGAUGAGGACAGCAUUAUUUGAUGCCAAGGGAUUUGCUGCAUAUGGUGUUAAAUAAACCAUCUUCCUGUCGUACA